CAGCCGCCACGGUAAUACGUAGGGUGCAAGCGUUAAUCGGAAUUACUGGGCGUAAAGCGUGCGCAGGCGGUUCGUUAAGACAGAUGUGAAAUCCCCGGGCUCAACCUAGGAACUGCAUUUGUGACUGGCAAGCUAGAGUAUGGCAGAGGGGGGUGGAAUUCCGCGUGUAGCAGUGAAAUGCGUAGAUAUGUGGAGGAACACCGAUGGCGAAGGCAGCCCCCUGGGCCAAUACUGACGCUCAUGCACGAAAGCGUGGGGAGCAAACAGGAUUAGAUACCCCUGUAGUCCCUGUCUCUUAUAC
Molecule: ribosomal RNA, 301 nt
Filed under: uncultured bacterium
Lineage: Bacteria
Description: partial 16S ribosomal RNA
Rfam family: Bacterial small subunit ribosomal RNA
Source: RNAcentral